CGGCGGACGGGUUAGUAACGCGUGGGAAUAUACCCUUUGGUACGGAAUAGCCUCUGGAAACGGAGAGUAAUACCGUAUGAGCCCUUCGGGGGAAAGAUUUAUCGCCAAAGGAUUAGCCCGCGUUAGAUUAGGUAGUUGGUGGGGUAAUGGCCUACCAAGCCUACGAUCUAUAGCUGGUUUUAGAGGAUGAUCAGCAACACUGGGACUGAGACACGGCCCAGACUCCUACGGGAGGCAGCAGUGGGGAAUCUUGGACAAUGGGCGCAAGCCUGAUCCAGCCAUGCCGCGUGAGUGAUGAAGGCCUUAGGGUCGUAAAGCUCUUUCGCCUGUGAAGAUAAUGACGGUAGCAGGUAAAGAAACCCCGGCUAACUCCGUGCCAGCAGCCGCGGUAAUACGGAGGGGGUUAGCGUUGUUCGGAAUUACUGGGCGUAAAGCGCACGUAGGCGGACUGGAAAGUUGGGGGUGAAAUCCCAGGGCUCAACCCUGGAACUGCCUCCAAAACUAUCAGUCUAGAGUUCGAGAGAGGUGAGUGGAAUUCCGAGUGUAGAGGUGAAAUUCGUAGAUAUUCGGAGGAACACCAGUGGCGAAGGCGGCUCACUGGCUCGAUACUGACGCUGAGGUGCGAAAGUGUGGGGAGCAAACAGGAUUAGAUACCCUGGUAGUCCACACCGUAAACGAUGAAUGCCAGUCGUCGGGUAGCAUGCUAUUCGGUGACACACCUAACGGAUUAAGCAUUCCGCCUGGGGAGUACGGUCGCAAGA
This 761-nucleotide ribosomal RNA is filed under the name Ruegeria atlantica. Its description in RNAcentral is "bacterial SSU rRNA". It matches the Rfam family "Bacterial small subunit ribosomal RNA", at positions 96 to 893 of the family's 1533-position model. The record is from RNAcentral. Lineage: Bacteria; Pseudomonadati; Pseudomonadota; Alphaproteobacteria; Rhodobacterales; Roseobacteraceae.